UACGUAGGGGCCUAGCGUUGUCCGGAUUUAUUGGGCGUAAAGAGCUCGUAGGCGGUUUGGUGAGUCGGGCGUGAAAUCUCCACGCUCAACGUGGAGGGGCCACCCGAUACUGCCAUGACUAGAGUCCGGUAGGGGAGUGUGGAAUUCCCGGUGUAGCGGUGAAAUGCGCAGAUAUCUGGAGGAACACCGGUGGCGAAGGCGGCAUCCUGGACCGGCAUUGACGCUGAGGCGCGAAAGCCAGGGGAGCAAACGGG
RNAcentral lists this ribosomal RNA (254 nucleotides) under uncultured bacterium. RNAcentral describes it as "partial 16S ribosomal RNA". It matches the Rfam family "Bacterial small subunit ribosomal RNA", at positions 524 to 776 of the family's 1533-position model. The record is from RNAcentral.